GGGCCCGCACAAGCGGUGGAGUAUGUGGUUUAAUUCGAUGCAACGCGAAGAACCUUACCAGGGUUUGACAUCCUGCGAAUCUCUUGGAAACGAGAGAGUGCCUUCGGGAAUUGUGAUACAGGUGCUGCAUGGCUGUCGUCAGCUCGUGUCGUGAGAUGUUGGGUUAAGUCCCGCAACGAGCGCAACCCACGUCUUUAGUUGCCAGCAUUUAGUUGGGCACUCUAGAGAGACCGCCGGUGAUAAACCGGAGGAAGGUGUGGAUGACGUCAAGUCAUCAUGCCCCUUACAUCCUGGGCUACACACGUACUACAAUGCUACGGACAAAGAGCAGCAAGUUCGCGAGGACAAGCAAAUCUCAUAAACCGUGGCUCAGUUCAGAUCGUAGGCUGCAACUCGCCUACGUGAAGGCGGAAUCGCUAGUAAUCG
Molecule: ribosomal RNA, 426 nt
Filed under: uncultured bacterium
Lineage: Bacteria
Description: bacterial SSU rRNA
Rfam family: Bacterial small subunit ribosomal RNA
Source: RNAcentral